UCUUGACCUCGGAUCAGGUAGGGAUACCCGCUGAACUUAAGCAUAUCAAUAAAGCGGAGGA
RNAcentral lists this ribosomal RNA (61 nucleotides) under Pyrenochaeta sp. Its description in RNAcentral is "partial 28S ribosomal RNA". The record is from RNAcentral. Lineage: Eukaryota; Fungi; Ascomycota; Dothideomycetes; Pleosporales; Cucurbitariaceae.